AUCUAGGUCACAUGAACAGUCAUGUGACCCACUAGCAGGUGGUGUUAAUGAUCUAGCUUGAUUGGGGUGGUUUAAAAGACAGGCAUGCAGACAUUUCAGCUAUUCCUGUUUGUGUUUGAUGCUUGGGAGGAAGGUGUUGGAGAGCCUAGGGUUUCUGCGCAGUUGUGGUGGCAAACAUGACUUGGCGAUGCCAAAGGCUUUGCGUGCUUUCAUUUGCUAUAUUUGCCUUUACUGGUGCUGACGGCUAUGUAGUCAGAACUAAAGACACUGCACAGGCUGGACUUGUCUAUAGUGAAGAUUGGGUACCUCUCCCACCUUCAGAAGACACUACCACUGAAACCAAACCCAGUGGAAAUCCUUCUGGUAGUUCUGCACCUCGACCCCAGCUGCUUGGCUCCUCUAAUGGCAUUGUGGCAAGUCAGAAUGCUGUUCGCCUUCAGGACUCUUUAGAUAGUCUUCAGUCUGCACCCAGUGCUCAAGGCCUCUCUGGACCGUAUACUCCUACCUCUCAGCAACAGGACAUCUUCUGGACUGGACCAUCUUCAGGCAGUCAAGCUAUUGCUCUGCCUUCUCAACCUCAAAGGUCACCGGAACCACUUGUUUAUGCUUCCCAGGCUAGGCCAUUGAGCUCUUCCCAGCCUCAGCUUUUAGGUGGUAGCUUGACUUCUCCUUCCCAAGGUGCUCCCCUGCAACAAUUAAGGGCAAGACUGCUAACUGGUCAAGGUGCUAGUGUCACAUUGAACAAUGUAAGGCCUGUCAGUGACCUUGCUCAACAAAGUGGAAGCCCAUAUAUGAGCAUGCCUUCUCAAGCUUCAAGCACAGGGCCAACCUAUAGCAGUUUCCAGCCUGGCUUUCAGAGUGCCUUAUCACAAUUUCCUAGUGCCCCAACUGGUCAAUACAGAGCCCCAUCCAGCAGCCUUAGACCUGGCAGUGACUUUGCCCAACAAAGCAGUUCCCAGUCUGGCUUUCAACCUGUAAGCACAGGCCAGACCGCUAGCAGUUUCCAGACUGGCUUUCCGAGUGCUCCAUCCCAAUUUCCUGUUCCCUCAAGUGGUCAAUACAUGGCCCCUAGUCAAGGAGCCCCAUCCAGCAGCCUUAGACCUGCCAGUGACUUUGCCCAACAAAGUGGAAACCCAUUCCUGAGUACACCAUCUCAACCUGUAAGCACAGCCCAGACCGCUAGCAGUUUCCAGACUGGCUUUCCGAGUGCUCCAUCCCAAUUUCCUAGUGCCUUAACUGGUCAAUAUACAGCCCCUAGUCAAGGAGCCCCAUCCAGCAGCCUUAGACCUGCCAGUGACUUUGCCCAACAACCUUCUCAAUAUGUAGGCACAAGCCAGACCACUAGCAGCUUCCUGCCUGGCUUUCAGACUGCCCCAUCCCAAUUUCCUAGUGCCUCAAUUGGUCAAUAUACAGCCCCUAGUCAAGGAGCCCCAUCCAGCAGCCUUAGACCUGCCAGUGACUUUGCCCAACAAAGUGGAAGCCCAUUCCUGAGUGCACCUUCUCAAACUACAGGCACAGGGCAGACAUCCAGCAGCUUCCAGCCUGGCUUUCAGAGUGCAUUUACCCAACUUCCAAGUGCUCUAUAUAUGCCCUCUCUUGCUAGCCCUGACCUGUAUAAUCAAGGAAGUCAGACAACUGGGGCUUAUCGGUGGCCUCAAGGGGGUUCUGGAAGUAGUCCUCAGAGCCAGGGAACCCAAGAACAGCCUAGCUUCAGCCAAGACGGGUCUAGAUCACUGGCACAGGUAACAUCCAGUGGCUCAUCUGCUUUAGGAUCAACAGGCUUCUACAGUGGUUCUGCAAGCCCUAGCUCAACUGGUAUUGAUCCGCCUUAUAGGCCUCUACCGAAGAGGUUCUGUCCUCGGUGACUCUUCAUUUAAGCAAUGAAUACUGAAUGGUUUGCUUGCCAGUCUUGUCUGUUUUUUCGAAUCAAUAAAUGUGUUGUCUUUAUUUUUGUCUCUGCA
This 1961-nucleotide long non-coding RNA is filed under the name Astyanax mexicanus (Mexican tetra). RNAcentral's name for it is "lncRNA (ENSAMXG00005002030.1)". Lineage: Eukaryota; Metazoa; Chordata; Actinopteri; Characiformes; Acestrorhamphidae. The record is from RNAcentral.